UACGGGGGGGGCAAGCGUUGUUCGGAAUUACUGGGCGUAAAGGGCUCGUAGGCGGCCAACUAAGUCAUACGUGAAAUCCCUCGGCUUAACCGGGGAACUGCGUGUGAUACUGGAUGGCUUGGAUUUGGGAGAGGGAUGCGGAAUUCCAGGUGUAGCGGUGAAAUGCGUAGAUAUCUGGAGGAACACCGGUGGCGAAGGUGGCAUCCUGGACCAAUAUUGACGCUGAGGAGCGAAAGCCAGGGGAGCAAACGGG
RNAcentral lists this ribosomal RNA (253 nucleotides) under uncultured bacterium. RNAcentral's name for it is "partial 16S ribosomal RNA". It matches the Rfam family "Bacterial small subunit ribosomal RNA", at positions 524 to 776 of the family's 1533-position model. The record is from RNAcentral.